RNAcentral lists this ribosomal RNA (500 nucleotides) under uncultured bacterium. RNAcentral describes it as "partial 16S ribosomal RNA". It matches the Rfam family "Bacterial small subunit ribosomal RNA", at positions 28 to 523 of the family's 1533-position model. The record is from RNAcentral.
GACGAACGCUGGCGGCGUGCUUAACACAUGCAAGUCGAACGGCAGCACGGACUUCGGUCUGGUGGCGAGUGGCGAACGGGUGAGUAAUGUAUCGGAACGUGCCCAGUCGUGGGGGAUAACGUAGUGAAAAUUACGCUAAUACCGCACACGAUCUAUGGAUGAAAGCGGGGGAUCGCAAGACCUCGCGCGAUUGGAGCGGCCGAUAUCAGAUUAGGUAGUUGGUGGGGUAAAGGCCCACCAAGCCAACGAUCUGUAGCUGGUCUGAGAGGACGACCAGCCACACUGGAACUGAGACACGGUCCAGACUCCUACGGGAGGCAGCAGUGGGGAAUUUUGGACAAUGGGCGAAAGCCUGAUCCAGCCAUUCCGCGUGCAGGAUGAAGGCCCUCGGGUUGUAAACUGCUUUUGUACAGAACGAAAAGGUUUCUACUAAUACUAGGAGCUCAUGACGGUACUGUAAGAAUAAGCACCGGCUAACUACGUGCCAGCAGCCGCCGUAA